GGCCCUCAAUAAACUCUCUGUCACUCAUGGGAAGACAAAAUAUCCUCAUUUAUCCUAAGCCCUCUGGCUUUUACCUUUCACAACCAGUAAGUAAUAAUGCAAUAAAUUGACGGGAAACUCAGAUUUGGGAAUUGCCGUUCUGUGGGUAAAAUGACGAGCAACGGUUCGUUACAACUUGUUGUUAUGGCCAGAAUCCCAAGCACAAAUAUUUGAAGAGUCAUAAAAACAAAAGCACAGGGACAGGUCAAUGGAGAAGUGGGCCUGCCUCAACAUCUUGACUUGGUCUGAAGUCAAUUCUACGUAUGAAAACUGGGCACACACAGACAAAUGUAAUGUAAUGAGUCAUGGAAUGAGUCAUGGAAUCACUGGGUUGUUGCCAAACAACUUUUACUCAGAGUAGACCCAUUGAAAUUAAUGGCUCUCAGUUAGCCAUGUUUAUUCACUUUUAAUCGGUCUCCUCUGAGUAGUACUAGCAUUGGAUACAACCUAUUGAGUUGGAGGGAGCAUUAUAGGUUCUCUGCUCAAUACAGGGAAACAAGAGCUGGGCACUCCCAACAGAUGGCUGCUCAGCCUCUGCUUGGAAACCUCUAGCAAGGAAUUGGCCAGCAAACACCAACCACAUAAUUUUUUCCAUUAUAAUAUUGCUCUGAUCUUCAAGACAUUUCUGCAGAUGUUCAACAGAAAUCUACCCCUCUAUAGGAAUGGGCAGAUUUUUGAAUUUCAUAUUCUCUCAAUUUCUCACUUAAGUUCGGUUCUCCACAUUUCCACAUCAAUUUGUGAUAUAUUUUUAAUUAAUCAUGAAAAUUCAUCAGCAUUUUAGUUAGUGCAAAUUUCUCACAAUAUACAUAUUUUUGUAUGCUACUUUUCCCACUACACACAUAUUUGCAAAACUAUUUCCCGAAAUUUAUUGCAUUCCUAUAAAUUAUUUUUGUCAAGCGCACCUCUUUACUGUGGCCUUUGACACAUGUGUGUGUGUGUUGUGUGUGUAUUAGGAUCUACCUUAUUCUUCCAGUUGUAAAUUGUUUUAACUGAUUUUAAUCUGGUAUUGUGUGUGUGUGUGUGUGUGUGUGUGUGUGUUUGGAAUGCAUGGAAUUUUUAAUAUUUUAUUUUUCAUGGGGGAAGGACAGUAGCUGAGUAGCAGAACAUCAGCCUUGCAUUCAGAGGGUCCCAGGUUCAAUCCCUGGAGUCACCUAGUAGAGCUGAGAGAGAAGCCUGCCUGAAAUCCUGGAGAGCUGUUGCCAGUCAGUGUAGACAAUACUGAGGUAGAUGCACCAAAACCUGACUCACUAUAAAGCAACUUCCUAGGUUGUCGUAACCUGCCCUGGGACCUCAUGGGAAAGAGCAUGGAAGAAAUCAAUAUGAAUGAUAUUGCUAAUCUUUUUUUCUUGUAUGUCCCUUGUUUGGCACCGCGGUGUACCAUGAGAAAACUGCCCUGGGACACACUUGCAGUCGCUCUGGAAAAAUCAGCUUUAUGAAUCUGAUUGGUAUUACAUCAUUUCCUGCCAGGCAGAGAGACCAGGAACAGCCGAGAGGAAUCUCUGAAAUAUUUCAGGACAAUAGUUUUGAGGGUGUUUGAUUUACUAUUCAAGUGCACACAGCUGCUGGUGGGGAAGAGGGAGGCAGCGUGCCAAGCGGGAGGGAGGGCAGCAGGAGAGAGCGGAAAAUUGUUUACAGACAGGGCCAUUAAAAUGACUUAGAAAUAGUUCCCUCUCAUUCCUCUCUGCAUAAAAUAGUUGUCUGUUUCAAAUGGAUUACCACUUACUCACUGAUACACCAUUUUAAGUGAUGUUUACAUAGCACGCUAAUAGCAGCCGGUGAAUCGACCGCUGCAAAGCUCCAGUGUGAGUCCUUCUCAUCCUGCCCCCCCCCCACAGCAGUGCUUCAUUCUGUAGUAAGGGAAGGGCUGUAGCUCAGCAGCAGAGCAUUUGAUUUGCAUGCAGACGGUCCCAAGUCCAGUCCCCGGCUUCUCAAGGUAGGGCUGGGCAAGCCACAAGUCAGAAACUCUGGAGAGCUGCUGUCAGUCAGUGUAGACAAUAUACUGUGCUAGAUGAACCAACGGGUCGUAAGAAGAGCUCUGCUGGACCAGGCCAAUGGCCCAUCUAGUCCAGUUUCUUGCUCUCACAGUGGCCAACUGAAUGCCUAUGGGAAGCUCAAAAAGCAGGACCUCAGCACAGCAUCACUCUAUCCCAGUGGUUCUCUAACUUUUUUCUCUGAGCCACACUUUCAGAAUAAUAAAUUCUUCUCUCCACACCAGUUUUUUCCUUGAUAAGAAGUGCAUUGGAAAACAAAAAGAAACGACUCCUAGCAGUUCUUUAUGUUGAAAAGAUAUCUAUUCAUAUUCUGC
RNAcentral lists this long non-coding RNA (2344 nucleotides) under Podarcis lilfordi (Lilford's wall lizard). Lineage: Eukaryota; Metazoa; Chordata; Lepidosauria; Squamata; Lacertidae. The record is from RNAcentral.